GCCAGUAUCAAAAAGAGCCCUUGCUCGAACACCAUUUACCGAAAUCAUACCUGCCACCACAUUGCGCUCCUCGGCUUCGGUGGGCUCCUCGACUUGCACUUGGGCGGCAUACAUCCGCCCGCUCGGAGCCGAUCGCGCUGGUUCAGGUUGGCGUGGCGCCGCCGCUCGCCCAGCCGACGCCGCAGCCGAUGGAACUCCAUAGCGAGCCGAAAUCGCC
This 217-nucleotide long non-coding RNA is filed under the name Ananas comosus (pineapple). RNAcentral describes it as "long non-coding RNA (ACOM_LNC036300)". The record is from RNAcentral. Lineage: Eukaryota; Viridiplantae; Streptophyta; Magnoliopsida; Poales; Bromeliaceae.